Long non-coding RNA from Acanthopagrus latus (yellowfin seabream), 246 nucleotides. RefSeq lists it as uncharacterized. The record is from RefSeq and is a predicted model, not a curated record. The transcript has 4 exons. NCBI's taxonomy places the organism in Eukaryota, Metazoa, Chordata, Actinopteri, Spariformes, Sparidae.
CAAAUCUGUAAAUGUAAUUUGACCUGCUGGAGUGGAGGACACUUUCAUUGCCCAAGGACAGACAUGGAGGGACACCUGAAGGCUUGCCAAGAAACCUUUCCCAGUCAAUAAGUCCUGGACAGUGGAAAGAGAACACUGGUUUUGAAAUAGAGGGGUUUCCAAGACAGCUGUACAGAAAUGACUGUGGCAUCUUCAUAUUGAUGGUGGACAUGCCAGUUCUGGAAAGUGGUGGUGUGUCAUGUUAAU